Molecule: long non-coding RNA, 1546 nt
Filed under: Chloebia gouldiae (Gouldian finch)
Lineage: Eukaryota; Metazoa; Chordata; Aves; Passeriformes; Passeridae
Description: Erythrura gouldiae (Gouldian finch) lncRNA (ENSEGOG00005012288.1)
Source: RNAcentral
GGAAAGGCAGCAUCGCCCCGGGACACGGUUCCCAGCCGCGCCCCGGGACCUGGGGGGUGACCCUGGCCGGGCCCGGGCACAGCGGCCGCAGCGCCAGCGGAGGGGCUGAACCGCCAGAGCUGGCAGCGUGUGGCUCCUCCCGUCCUUUGUUGGCCUGCAACCGGAGCAGCGGCCGCGGGCUCUUCCCCCGGCUGUCCUUCGAGGCCUGAGGUGCUCGGGUGCGGGGAGAGCCCGGCGGGACCCGGGCAGCGUCUCCCACGCCACGCAGCUUCGGCGCGGGGGAGAUCAGCCCCGGCGGCCGGCGCGGUGCUGCCCGCCGGCACCGCUCGGAAACCCUCCCGAGCUGUCCGGGCUGCGGGAGGCCGCGACCCGGCCCCGGCCCCGCGGCGCUCGGCGGCCCCGCAGCCUCCCCGCCCCCGGCACUCUCCAGGGAGCCGUUCCACACGGAAUCACACGGGAGCGUCUCCCCAUCUGUGCCGCCGAGCACCCCCACCCCCACCGCCCAGCCCCGCAGCCUCCUGCCAUUAUGUUCCUCCGACGCGGGGCCGGGCCGCGCCGCGGGCCGUAGCCCUGCCCGAGCCCGCCGGCUCCGGCCGCAGCAGGUGCAGCCAGGGGCAGAAGGGCUUUGCCGGGGUCGCCCACCCACCCGGAGGGAGCCCUGCAGAGCAGCAUCUCCCGCAGCCUCCGAGAGGAGGGGGUUUCAGCGCGUAGGCGGAGGUGGUUACUGGUGUUCCCAGAGCAAGGGUGAGUAGCCAAGAGGAGCGGGGUGGCUGCUGUCUCGGUCUGGGUGCCUGUCAGCCAUGCAGGAGGAAGGCCCUUGCGUGGCCGAGGUGAAGGCGAGCGGGCAGGAGCAGAGCGGCCACAGGCGCAGGUGGGUGUAGACCCCCGGAGCGGCGUGGGCACCGCAGGGGGCUGAGACCCUGGGCAGGCAUCGCCUGAGAGGCGCAGAGCCGGACAGGCGGUCGGUCCGCACAAUCUCUGCGGGGUGGGAGCCGCGCAGAGCCUGACCGGGCCUCCCCAGCCGGCGGGUGCAAGCCGGGGGGGGCUGCCCAGCCGUGGGGCUGCAGCUCGCUGCUUCUCAAGGCCUCUAGCAUAGUCGAAUAGCAAAAGAAAAAAAAGAAAAAUCAGUGUAGCAGCCAAGUCGGUGCUGCGAGGAGGGGGCAAAGGAACUAUUUUGUAGGCAUCUUGCUGCUGCGGAAAUGGAUUUAUUGAGGGGAGGGAGGCACAUUUGUGGGUACACUAUAGUAAUGCUGCUCAGAGCUGCUCGGGCGGCCCCAGAUGGUACGAGGAGUGGGGAGGGCAGAUGGGAGAAGCCCUUGAUCGGGCACCCCAUGGCCGUGGGCAUGAGGGGGCAGAUUUGACGUGUGUGAGUAGCCACCCCUCAUCUCGGGGAGCAGAGGGGCAGCAGCCCGGGUUAGCAGCCUGUCUCCCAGGGCUGUGGCCGAGCCUGCCUGGUGCUGCAAGAGAGAUCCUAUGAGGAUUUUUAUUGCGGUCUCUUUGUUAGCUACAGACAGGCACGCACACACUGCUCGCAGCCAGGUUGUGG